This 694-nucleotide ribosomal RNA is filed under the name uncultured bacterium. Its description in RNAcentral is "bacterial SSU rRNA". It matches the Rfam family "Bacterial small subunit ribosomal RNA", at positions 32 to 715 of the family's 1533-position model. The record is from RNAcentral.
AACGCUAGCUACAGGCUUAACACAUGCAAGUCGAGGGGCAGCAUGGUCUUAGCUUGCUAAGGCCGAUGGCGACCGGCGCACGGGUGAGUAACACGUAUCCAACCUGCCGUCUACUCUUGGACAGCCUUCUGAAAGGAAGAUUAAUACAAGAUGGCAUCAUGAGUCCGCAUGUUCACAUGAUUAAAGGUAUUCCGGUAGACGAUGGGGAUGCGUUCCAUUAGAUAGUAGGCGGGGUAACGGCCCAUCUAGUCUUCGAUGGAUAGGGGUUCUGAGAGGAAGGUCCCCCACAUUGGAACUGAGACACGGUCCAAACUCCUACGGGAGGCAGCAGUGAGGAAUAUUGGUCAAUGGGCGAGAGCCUGAACCAGCCAAGUAGCGUGAAGGAUGACUGCCCUAUGGGUUGUAAACUUCUUUUAUAAAGGAAUAAAGUCGGGUAUGGAUACCCGUUUGCAUGUACUUUAUGAAUAAGGAUCGGCUAACUCCGUGCCAGCAGCCGCGGUAAUACGGAGGAUCCGAGCGUUAUCCGGAUUUAUUGGGUUUAAAGGGAGCGUAGAUGGAUGUUUAAGUCAGUUGUGAAAGUUUGCGGCUUAACCGUAAAAUUGCAGUUGAUACUGGAUAUCUUGAGUGCAGUUGAGGCAGGCGGAAUUCGUGGUGUAGCGGUGAAAUGCUUAGAUAUCACGAAGAACUCCGAUUG